Long non-coding RNA from Magnolia sinica, 226 nucleotides. RefSeq lists it as uncharacterized. NCBI's taxonomy places the organism in Eukaryota, Viridiplantae, Streptophyta, Magnoliopsida, Magnoliales, Magnoliaceae. The transcript has 3 exons. The record is from RefSeq and is a predicted model, not a curated record.
GGGCAGUACGAUGAAACAUGGUAUAUCACCUCAUACACUUCUUCGUAAGAGUGGUGAUCUUCUGGGACCUUGUUUAUUGAUUGCUGAGGAUAUGCAAGGUGCUAUAUUUGGUGGGCUAUUAGAAUGCCCCCUAAACCCUACAACAGAAAGAAAAUAUCAAGGGACAAACCAAACAUUUGUAUUCACAACGAUAUAUGGUGACCCAAGGCUAUUUAGAGCAACUGGU